This 484-nucleotide ribosomal RNA is filed under the name uncultured bacterium. Its description in RNAcentral is "partial 16S ribosomal RNA". It matches the Rfam family "Bacterial small subunit ribosomal RNA", at positions 30 to 507 of the family's 1533-position model. The record is from RNAcentral.
AUUGAACGCUGGCGGCAGGCCUAACACAUGCAAGUCGAGCGGAUGAAGGGAGCUUGCUCCUGGAUUUAGCGGCGGACGGGUGAGUAAUGCCUAGGAAUCUGCCUGGUAGUGGGGGAUAACGUCCGGAAACGGGCGCUAAUACCGCAUACGUCCUGAGGGAGAAAGUGGGGGAUCUUCGGACCUCACGCUAUCAGAUGAGCCUAGGUCGGAUUAGCUAGUUGGUGGGGUAAAGGCCUACCAAGGCGACGAUCCGUAACUGGUCUGAGAGGAUGAUCAGUCACACUGGAACUGAGACACGGUCCAGACUCCUACGGGAGGCAGCAGUGGGGAAUAUUGGACAAUGGGCGAAAGCCUGAUCCAGCGAUGCCGCGUGUGUGAAGAAGGUCUUCGGACUGUAAAGCACUUUAAGUUGGGAGGAAGGGCAGUAAGUUAAUACCUCGCUGUUUUGACGUUACCAACAGAAUAAGCACCGGCUAACUUCGUG